This 509-nucleotide ribosomal RNA is filed under the name uncultured bacterium. RNAcentral describes it as "bacterial SSU rRNA". It matches the Rfam family "Bacterial small subunit ribosomal RNA", at positions 17 to 518 of the family's 1533-position model. The record is from RNAcentral.
UUCUGGCUCAGGAUGAACGCUAGCGGCAGGCUAACACAUGCAAGUCGAGGGGCAGCGGGAUGUAGCAAUACAUUGCCGGCGACCGGCGGAUGGGUGCGUAACGCGUAUGCAACCUACCUUAUACAGGGGAAUAACCUUUCGAAAGGGAGACUAACACCCCAUAGUAUUGAUUUAAGGCAUCUUAGAUUAAUUAAAUAUUUAUAGGUAUAAGAUGGGCAUGCGUAUGAUUAGCUAGUUGGUAAGGUAACGGCUUACCAAGGCGACGAUCAUUAGGGGUUCUGAGAGGAAGGUCCCCCACACUGGUACUGAGACACGGACCAGACUCCUACGGGGGGCAGCAGUGAGGAAUAUUGGUCAAUGGGCGCAAGCCUGAACCAGCCAUGCCGCGUGCAGGAAAAGACGGCCUUAUGGGUUGUAAACUGCUUUUACAUAAGACUAACCGUAUAUUUGCGAAUAUACCUGAAUGUAUUAUGAGAAUAAGGAUCGGCUAACUCCGUGCCAGCCGCUGC